GAUGAACGCUAGCUACAGGCUUAACACAUGCAAGUCGAGGGGCAUCAGUUUGGUUUGCUUGCAAACCAAAGCUGGCGACCGGCGCACGGGUGAGUAACACGUAUGCAACUUACCUAUCAGAGGGGGAUAGCCCGGCGAAAGUCGGAUUAAUACCCCAUAAAACAGGGGUCCCGCAUGGAAAUAUUUGUUAAAGAUUCAUCGCUGAUAGAUAGGCAUGCGUUCCAUUAGGCAGUUGGCGGGGUAACGGCCCACCAAACCGACGAUGGAUAGGGGGUUCUGAGAGGAAGGUCCCCCCACAUUGGUACUGAGACACGGACCAAACUCCUACGGGAGGCAGCAGUGAGGAAUAUUGGUCAAUGGCCGAGAGGCUGAACCAGCCAAGUCGCGUGAAGGAAGAAGGAUCUAUGGUUUGUAAACUUCUUUUAUAGGGGAAUAAAGUGGAGGACGUGUCCUUUUUUGUAUGUACCCUAUGAAUAAGCAUCGGCUAACUCCGUGCCAGCAGCCGCCGCAGU
This 512-nucleotide ribosomal RNA is filed under the name uncultured bacterium. Its description in RNAcentral is "bacterial SSU rRNA". It matches the Rfam family "Bacterial small subunit ribosomal RNA", at positions 28 to 524 of the family's 1533-position model. The record is from RNAcentral.